AAGCGUUACUCGGAAUCAUUGGGCGUAAAGGGCGCGUAGGCGGCCUGAUCAGUCAGAUGUGAAAGCUCGGGGCUCAACCCCGGAAGAGCAUUUGAUACUGUCAGGCUUGAGUAUGGGAGAGGAAAGUGGAAUUCCCGGUGUAGAGGUGAAAUUCGUAGAUAUCAGGAGGAACACCGGUGGCGAAGGCGACUUUCUGGACCAAUACUGACGCUGAGGCGCGAAGGCGUGGGGAGC
RNAcentral lists this ribosomal RNA (234 nucleotides) under uncultured bacterium. RNAcentral's name for it is "partial 16S ribosomal RNA". It matches the Rfam family "Bacterial small subunit ribosomal RNA", at positions 536 to 769 of the family's 1533-position model. The record is from RNAcentral.